CCUACGGGUGGCAGCAGUGAGGAAUAUUGGUCAAUGGACGAGAGUCUGAACCAGCCAAGUAGCGUGAAGGAUGACUGCCCUAUGGGUUGUAAACUUCUUUUAUAAAGGAAUAAAACGAGGCACGUGUGCCUUUUUGCAUGUACUUUAUGAAUAAGGAUCGGCUAACUCCGUGCCAGCAGCCGCGGUAAUACGGAGGAUCCGAGCGUUAUCCGGAUUUAUUGGGUUUAAAGGGGGCGUAGAUGGGUUGUUAAGUCAGUUGCGAAAGUUUGCGGCUCAACCGUGAAAUUGCAAUUGAUACUGGCAGUCUUGAGUACAGUUGAGGUAGGCGGAAUUCGUGGUGUAGCGGUGAAAUGCUUAGAUAUCACGAAGAACCCCGAUUGCGAAGGCAGCUUACUAAGCUGUGACUGACAUUGAUGCUCGAAAGUGUGGGUAUCAAACAGGAUUAGAUACCCGUGUAGUC
This 460-nucleotide ribosomal RNA is filed under the name uncultured bacterium. RNAcentral's name for it is "partial 16S ribosomal RNA". It matches the Rfam family "Bacterial small subunit ribosomal RNA", at positions 338 to 795 of the family's 1533-position model. The record is from RNAcentral.